UAGGGAAUCUUCCACAAUGGGCGCAAGCCUGAUGGAGCAACACCGCGUGAGUGAAGAAGGGUUUCGGCUCGUAAAGCUCUGUUGUUAAAGAAGAACACGUAUGAGAGUAACUGUUCAUACGUUGACGGUAUUUAACCAGAAAGUCACGGCUAACUACGUG
RNAcentral lists this ribosomal RNA (160 nucleotides) under uncultured bacterium. Its description in RNAcentral is "partial 16S ribosomal RNA". It matches the Rfam family "Bacterial small subunit ribosomal RNA", at positions 355 to 507 of the family's 1533-position model. RNAcentral also lists the same sequence under 3 other names. The record is from RNAcentral.